RNAcentral lists this ribosomal RNA (627 nucleotides) under Aspergillus oryzae. RNAcentral describes it as "eukaryotic LSU rRNA". The stretch from base 288 to 441 matches the Rfam family "5.8S ribosomal RNA". The record is from RNAcentral. Lineage: Eukaryota; Fungi; Ascomycota; Eurotiomycetes; Eurotiales; Aspergillaceae.
CCCAAAAACAAACCACAAGCGAAGAUUACUCACAAUUAGACCUCAAAANNUANNAAGAAANAGNNUNNUNCCUUCCCGUAGGGGUGACCUGCGGAAGGAUCAUUACCGAGUGUAGGGUUCCUAGCGAGCCCAACCUCCCACCCGUGUUUACUGUACCUUAGUUGCUUCGGCGGGCCCGCCAUUCAUGGCCGCCGGGGGCUCUCAGCCCCGGGCCCGCGCCCGCCGGAGACACCACGAACUCUGUCUGAUCUAGUGAAGUCUGAGUUGAUUGUAUCGCAAUCAGUUAAAACUUUCAACAAUGGAUCUCUUGGUUCCGGCAUCGAUGAAGAACGCAGCGAAAUGCGAUAACUAGUGUGAAUUGCAGAAUUCCGUGAAUCAUCGAGUCUUUGAACGCACAUUGCGCCCCCUGGUAUUCCGGGGGGCAUGCCUGUCCGAGCGUCAUUGCUGCCCAUCAAGCACGGCUUGUGUGUUGGGUCGUCGUCCCCUCUCCGGGGGGGACGGGCCCCAAAGGCAGCGGCGGCACCGCGUCCGAUCCUCGAGCGUAUGGGGCUUUGUCACCCGCUCUGUAGGCCCGGCCGGCGCUUGCCGAACGCAAAUCAAUCUUUCCAGGUGACCUCGGAUCAGGUA